RNAcentral lists this ribosomal RNA (465 nucleotides) under uncultured bacterium. RNAcentral describes it as "partial 16S ribosomal RNA". It matches the Rfam family "Bacterial small subunit ribosomal RNA", at positions 28 to 507 of the family's 1533-position model. The record is from RNAcentral.
GACGAACGCUGGCGGCGUGCUUAACACAUGCAAGUCGAACGGAGAGGCCCCUUCGGGGGUCCUCGAGUGGCGCACGGGUGAGUAACACGUGAGUAACCUGCCCUUGACUUCGGGAUAACUUCAGGAAACUGGGGCUAAUACCGGAUAGGAAUCCUUGCUGCAUGGUGGGGGUUGGAAAGCUUCGGCGGUUUUGGAUGGACUCGCGGCUUAUCAGCUUGUUGGUGGGGGAGUGGCUUACCAAGGCUUUGACGGGUAGCCGGCCUGAGAGGGCGACCGGCCACAUUGGGACUGAGAUACGGCCCAGACUCCUACGGGAGGCAGCAGUGGGGAAUAUUGCACAAUGGGCGGAAGCCUGAUGCAGCAACGCCGCGGGCGGGAUGACGGCCUUCGGGUUGGAAACCGCUUUCAGCAGGGGCGAAGCUUGUGGUGACGGUACCUGCAGAAGAAGCACCGGCUAACUACGUG